Molecule: long non-coding RNA, 3423 nt
Organism: Myotis daubentonii (Daubenton's bat)
Lineage: Eukaryota; Metazoa; Chordata; Mammalia; Chiroptera; Vespertilionidae
Exons: 2
Source: RefSeq, a predicted model, not a curated record
UGGCUUUUCUAGUCUGAUUGGGACAUUUAAGGGUGGGGCUCACAGUUCCUCAGGAGAGAUUUCAUGGGCCCUUCCCCCUGCCUGUGCUGAAUUAAAAAAUACAGGCCAGUGUCAUUUGGCUUGUUGGUUAAAGGAAGACAGUGGGCCUUAGAAUCUGUAAAGGUGGGCCGGAAUGAAGCUGGUCAAAUGUACUGAAAGGGUUUGGUACCUGCUGCUGCUAGCAAAGGAGGGGCUGAUAUCCCCUUCUAGUGCACUCCCUCGAAAGAGGCCUGGUUGCUGCUCUGCCACAAAGGAAACUGGUAGAAAGGAACCAUGGAAACUGGCAGGGACUGGGUGGCUCUCCUAUCAUGUUUGGCAGGCCACCCCCUAUCGUUCCUAACAUUAAAGCUGACUUUCUUGCUGCAAGAACUAUCUCUUUCCUUGAGAGGGCUCCAGAGGGCGCACGAGGACAUUUGGCUGCGCCUCCGCGCCAUCUACGAGACCGGCCCAACCCCAACUCCUCAUCAGCACAGACCAGAAGAUUGGGUCUAUGUCAGAAGGCACCGCCGGGAGACCCUUGAGCCACGUUGGAAGGGUCCCUACACUGUGGUGCUGACGACCCCCACCGCUCUCAAGGUAGACAGCGUGACCUGGGUCCAUCACACUCACGUCCGGUCAGCAGACCCAUCCGUGAUCCGGGAGGACUUCGUCACCAAAUGGAGCAUCAAUUGAGAUCAACGCCACCCGCUCAAGCUCAAGCUAGGGCAUGCUCGACCUGCCUGAUGCUGGUAACAUUGCUCGCGAUCACUCCUGCUACCGGGAGCCCCCACAAUACCGUAUAAUAGACUUAGAUAAUGCCUGCAUCUUCAUGGACAUGGCUCCAAAGAGACAAGGACAAUUUAUAGGAUCACAUGUUUAGUAGCAGAAGAUUUGGCUGCCUAAAGCAGCCAUGAUGCCAAUAUUAUGUUUCAUUGAAUUGAUAUGUUAUAUUGACCUUUGAUUCUCUUGCAGGUUUGAAUGUAUGUUGGUUACCCUGGAAGGGGACUGUGUGGGGUGAACCCCAAAAGUAAAGGGUGUCUAGCUGCCAAGAGGUAAGGAACCCAGCUGGGCAGGGAAGAGUGACCAUCAGGUUUUGGUCUCUGUUGAGAGACAGUUGACGGUGGGCAGCCUGUAUACUGUCUUGCAGGCCUGUGUAACCAUGCCCAUAUCAGGGGUAGUUGGAAUAGAAGGUCUGAGGCAUGGUUAUGCAUAGAAAAAAGUUUUAAUGCCAACAGUUACUGUUUUGUUGUAACUCUGAAGAAUCCAUGAAAAGGAAUUGGCAAGGAAAGUCAGAAAAUCUUAGAGCAGAUCAGUAUGUUUUUCUCCUUAUAUAAUUUCUCUGAAAUAUUGGCAAUGCUAAAUAAGUCAUGGCAAUACAUUUCUUUGCAUAUAUUCAAUAAGACUGGUUCCUAAUAGUGGUUUUAUUAACGGAAAACUUUGACUGGAAUAUCAUGUUUUAAAGAGCCCUGUCUGAGCCCUAAAGACUUAAAGCCAGUAAGAAUGCCAUGAAGAAAGCCUGGUAUCCUGCUUGGGAGCCCUGAAGAUGGCUGGCGCUGGAGCGUCAGGCCCAUGCCCUGCCAUCACUGGUGGUUGGUCAAAGUAGAAGGGGAGCAAUAAGGAUGUCUCUGUGUCCCUGCGGAACCCCGACACACUCUGGGCUGCAACGAGUAGGAGGACUACUGAGAUGGGCCUUAAAGCCUGGAGCGUGGGCUCAGGUGGAGUUGCUACAGGUGAGGGAUUCACCUAACUCAGCAGAUACUGCAGGCAGGCCUGAUGGCAGCUGGAUGGCUUUUCUUCCUGGCCCUACGGGGCACAUUAAGAUUCAACCAUGAGAUUCCAGCAAAGGUAGUCAGUUACCAUUCUUGUUGUGUUUAUGCAAAAAUCAGGACUGUAGAUAAAUUAAUCUUAAUUUGGUUUUUUGAUAGCCAUGGAGGAAUUUUAAGAAGAAAAAUCCCAUUUCGAUAGAAGUUGUUAAAGCUAAAAUGGUUUCUUUCCCUUCCACCGGACCAUUUGUUAAGCAUAUAGGGAUAGCUCAGUUGAUAGUUCUGUGUGCCCAGUACGGCCCUCUAGCAAUGGUGAAAUAGAAAUGCAGUCCGUCUCAUGAUUGAGCCAGAAGUUCCAAGACAAAGGGGGGAAUGAAAGGGCGAGGACUACGCCCUCCAUCUUGCCCCAGGGUAAGGGCCACGCCCUCCAUCUUACCUUGGCCAUGUGUUCGACAAGGCUUCUUCCCGGAAGCCCAAGCCUCUGCUAGCCACACCCAGGACUUCUUUAAACUAACCAAUGACAAUCAAGGGAAGUGCUCACCAUAGAUACAACCACAUCCUGUGUAACAAGACCCCGAAUUGCACCUGGCCAAUCGGCAGGGCCCACAGUCCUUUCUCCUCCCUUUACUCCAACCCCCCCUAUAAAAUCCCUCUUCCCACAGAGCUAGCUCUCUCUCUGCCGCUUGCCGCUGCGUCGGUGAGUAUGGCUGACGGGGAGCUCAAGCUAGCUUGAAUAAAGACUCUGCUUUUGCAUCAGACUCGGCACUCCCUGGUGGUCUUUUGGAGAUCCUGAAAUCUGGGCUUCACACUGUUACAUUCCAGGUACCGUUUUAAGCACUGAACAAAAUAAAUUUUUUUAAAAAUUCCUGAUUUCCUAGAACUAACAUACUAGUGGGGAAAGACAGACACUAAACAAUGAGUAUAGUACAUCAUCACAUUCAUCACAUUGUUUAGUGCAGUGGUUCUCAACCUUCCUAAUGCCGUGACCCUUUAAUACAGUUCCUCAUGUUGCGGUAACCCCCAAUUUCACUGUUACAAAUUGAACAUAAUUAAAGCAUAGUGAUUAAUCACAAAACAAUAUAUAAUUAUAUACGUGUUUUCCCAUGAUCUUAGGCAACCUCUGUGAAAGGUUCGUUCGACCCUCAAAGGGGUUGCAACCCACAGGUUGAGAACCGCUGGUUUAGUGUAUUGAAAGGAAGUAAAUGUUCUGGAAAUAAAAAAGUAAUGUAGAAAACUAGUAAUCACAGGAAGUGUCUGAAGGCGUGCUGGGGAGGUUGCAUUAUUAAAUAGGGUAGUCAGGGUAGGCCUCAUGAACACAGUCGUAGGCAGAAAUGAACAGACUGUGUAGUGAAAAGAGUUUUGUCUCACGUUUCUACUGGAUUCCUGAACAUCUUCCCCCACUUGUUUAAACUAUAACUAGAAACACUCCUAUAUCUUUGAGCAGUACCUGCCUGAUGGAGUCCUUAUUCACACAGUUGUUACAUUGUGGGCCUUUACUCUGCUUUGUACAUUGUCUUCUCUCCAUCAUGGGAUUCUCUGUGAUCAACUUAAACCACUUCAGAACGCUAGAAGCACUGAACUAAAAAUCAGCAAGUUUCUUGAAACUCAGCUGACUAAUGAGGGUGUGGAAUCCAUAGUGAAA